RNAcentral lists this transfer RNA (82 nucleotides) under Dreissena polymorpha. It matches the Rfam family "tRNA". From Rfam's summary of the family: Transfer RNA (tRNA) molecules are approximately 80 nucleotides in length. Their secondary structure includes four short double-helical elements and three loops (D, anti-codon, and T loops). The record is from Rfam by way of RNAcentral. Lineage: Eukaryota; Metazoa; Mollusca; Bivalvia; Myida; Dreissenidae.
GUUGCCGCAGCCGAGUGGUUAUGGCGAUAGGCUUGAAAUCUUUUGGGAUUUUCCCGCGCAGGUUCGAAUCCUGCCGACAACG